CCAAACUCCAGAUGAGGUCUCCUGAGAGCUUAUGGCCAGAUUGCUGGCCCCAGUGCUUAUAAACCCAAUGAGACGGUUAUGAGCAUGAGGGAUGUACAGAUGUGGCAUCCAGCAAACUCACCUUGCACCUGCAAGGACUAUGGCCUGCCUCUGCCCUGCUAAAUGAAGUGGAUCUUGUGCCUGAAUCUAUAAGAGUUCACUGGGAGCGUGAGGCUGCAGCCUCAAUAGCAAGUGAUGCUCUCGCACAGCCAGAGGAAAUCAUACUGGAAAUUGUUGCUGACCCCUCAUGACUGGACCUGGCAGCAGGGAGCAGGGACUAACCCAGGUGCAGGAGGCUGCGCUGAGCUCCACACAAUGUGUCCAUCAUCUUAGUCCAGGCAUUUUAAUUGACACUGCAGUAAAAAAUCUGGCACCCAACAUUUUCUCCUUCGAGCCACAAUGGAGAGGCUGUGCCAACAGUUCGACCGUGCUCGUUUCCCUCUUCCAGUUGGGGGGUGCAUGUGUGGAAGAAGGGCAUAGGAAAGAAACACACCACCCCCCCCCAGUUUUGGAUGUCAGUUUGUCACUACAUCAGCCCAGGAUCCAUUGCUGGCAUGGCUCUCCUGAAUGCGUGUCUGUCUGUCUGUCCAGUGGAGCUUUGCAGCACACAGGAAUAGAGAUGACAUCUAUCCUGAAGCUUUGACUGCUUCCCUCUAGGACUAGUAGUAAAUAUGGGUUGCUUUGCUUGAGGAGGUUGCUCCGGUACAAAGGGGCUUCCCUUGGGUAGACUUUGGAACUGGGUUGGGGAAACCUCAGCUCCCUCAAGGGAUGGGGUCCCCCUGGACUUGUCCCCUGCCUCUCCCCUGCACCUCUGAGUGAGCUGUGGGUUGGUGCAGCCCCGCGCUGAGCUCCAGGAGCCAAGCAGCCGAGGGGACUCCUCUGCUGCUGCAAUGCAGGGCUGAGUGCAGGUUGCAGAAAACGAAGGACACACAGGCACUGCAGAACCAGGGCCGGAGGCUGGAGGGGAGGAUCAGAGCCCAGCAUGACACCGCUUUCACUUAUCCCAUCUUGUGUCCCUUGGGCUGUGCCCAUUUCAAGUCAAUGCCAUCCAUAAACGGGCAGCCAGCAAAAGGGCAUUUCGGGCACCAGUGCAUUAAGGAGGUGAAGUGGCACAAAUGCAACCAGGAAAAGGCAGGACUGACUUGCACUGUGCUAUAUUGCUUACCUAAUGCUUUGGCAAGAAUCUGGAGCCAAUUCAUCACUGUUUAUCCCCCAAACCAGCUAUUGCUUUUGCCAAAGAAUGGGGAGAGUCACCUCUCCUCCCUCCUGGGGCCAUUCGUGCUUUGCUUUUCAGGGAGGUAGCACUAAUUCAGCUGGGCAGAGGCAAAAUGCACCGAUAGGAACACACUGAUCCAAAACUCUUCUAAAAACUCCAGAAAAGAGCAAACAAAGGAGUAAAGGCAGUUUUCUUUCUGUCUGGUCUUGCUUAUUUAUCACUCCUGCUGUUUUCAAUAUAGACCAAGGAGAGGGCAAAAACGAAACAAAAAGCCAUUGUAAGUGGGGAGGUAGCAGCCUUUCCGUUUCUUUUGUGCACGUAAAUUGCUCCCAUGAAUUAGGCUAUUUUUGGUUUGGCCAAAUUCCCCCAGAUUAGAAUGGGUGAAAGGGAGAAAAGAACUACUUGAAUCAAA
This is a long non-coding RNA of Neopsephotus bourkii (Bourke's parrot), 1667 nucleotides long. RefSeq lists it as uncharacterized. The transcript is spliced from 3 exons. The record is from RefSeq and is a predicted model, not a curated record. NCBI's taxonomy places the organism in Eukaryota, Metazoa, Chordata, Aves, Psittaciformes, Psittacidae.